GUGUCAGCCGCCGCGGUAAUACGGGGGGUGCAAGCGUUACUCGGAAUCACUGGGCGUAAAGAGCAUGUAGGCGGAUUAAUAAGUUUGAAGUGAAAUCCUAUAGCUUAACUAUAGAACUGCUUUGAAAACUGUUAAUCUAGAAUGUGGGAGAGGUAGAUGGAAUUUCUGGUGUAGGGGUAAAAUCCGUAGAGAUCAGAAGGAAUACCGAUUGCGAAGGCGAUCUACUGGAACAUUAUUGACGCUGAGAUGCGAAAGCGUGGGGAGCAAACAGGAUUAGAUACCCUGGUAGUCCACGCCCUAAACGAUGUACACUAGUUGUUGUGAGACUUGAUCUUGCAGUAAUGCAGUUAACACAUUAAGUGUACCGCCUGGGGAGUACGGUCGCAAGAUUAAAACUCAAAGGAAUAGACGGGGACCCGCACAAGCGGUGGAGCAUGUGGUUUAAUUCGACGAUACACGAAGAACCUUACCUGGACUUGACAUAGUAAGAACUUUCUAGAGAUAGAUUGGUGUCUGCUUGCAGAAACUUAUAUACAGGUGCUGCACGGCUGUCGUCAGCUCGUGUCGUGAGAUGUUGGGUUAAGUCCCGCAACGAGCGCAACCCUCGUGUUUAGUUGCUAACAGUUCGGCUGAGAACUCUAAACAGACUGCCUACGCAAGUAGGAGGAAGGUGAGGACGACGUCAAGUCAUCAUGGCCCUUACGUCCAGGGCUACACACGUGCUACAAUGGGAUAUACAAAGAGCGGCAAUACGGUGACGUGGAGCAAAUCUUAUAAAAUAUCUCCCAGUUCGGAUUGUAGUCUGCAACUCGACUACAUGAAGUUGGAAUCGCUAGUAAUCGUAGAUCAGCUAUGCUACGGUGAAUACGUUCCCGGGUCUUGUACUCACCGCCCGUCACACCAUGGGAGUCGAACUCAUUCGAAGCGGGGAUGCUAAAAUAGCUACCUUCCACAGUGGAUUUGGCGACUGGGGUGAAGUCGUAACAAGGUAACC
This 994-nucleotide ribosomal RNA is filed under the name uncultured Arcobacter sp. RNAcentral's name for it is "bacterial SSU rRNA". It matches the Rfam family "Bacterial small subunit ribosomal RNA", at positions 505 to 1501 of the family's 1533-position model. Lineage: Bacteria; Pseudomonadati; Campylobacterota; Epsilonproteobacteria; Campylobacterales; Arcobacteraceae. The record is from RNAcentral.